This 834-nucleotide non-coding RNA is filed under the name Alaysia sp. n. 2 MM-2023. Lineage: Eukaryota; Metazoa; Annelida; Polychaeta; Sabellida; Siboglinidae. The record is from RNAcentral.
ACAAGUUUGAUUCUAGCUUAAAGUUAACUAUCCCUAAAAAAAACACAUGCAAAUUUUUAUACCCCCGUGAAAAAUCAUUUUUUUAUUCUAAAAUUUAAUAUCUUUCAAUUUAAAAUAUGAUAAAAGAUCAAUUUCAUAAUAAUUAUACUUUAAAGAAACCUCACGCCUGCAGUGAUUAAUACUAUAUAGCUUAGAAAUACGGCCUCGGUCAUAGGAAUUUAGAGUUGGUGAAACCCGUGCCAGCUACCGCGGUUAAACGACAGACUCAAGCUAACUCCUUCGGAAAUUAUGGUUUUAGAUAUAAACACUUUCAAAAGAAGUCUAAUUCUAUCAACACUUUCUAAACCAAAUAUAUCCCUCCAUCCGCCCAUGAAAGCCCAAAAAAAAACAAGGAUUAGAUACCCUUUUAUUCUGGGCCCAAAAUUAUCCAGGGUACUACAAACACAGGUUUAAAACCCAAAGAACUUGGCGGUACCUAAAUCCAAUCAGGGGAACCUGUCCUUUAAAUCGACAAUCCACGUAAAUUUUACCUUUUUUAGAAACCUCAGCCUGUAUACUGCCGUCGCCAGCUCACCAUAAAAAUGCUAGUGAGCCAAAAGACUUAUAUCUUCACGUCAGGUCAAAGUGCAGCCUAUAAAAAGGAAGAGAUGGGUUACAACUUAAAAUCUAAAUAUGAAUUAUCUAUGAAAAACCAUAUAAAAGUGGACUUGAAAGUAAUUAAAAAUAACUUAUUUUAAUGAAUAUGGCAACCUAAGGUGUGCACACAUCGCCCGUCACUCUCGCCGAAAGGGGAGAUAAGUCGUAACAUAGCAGGUGUAAUGGAAAUUGCACCUU